GAAUUCGAUUCAGGCCUAACACAUGCAAGUCGAACGAUGAAGCUGGAGCUUGCUCCGGUGGAUUAGUGGCGAACGGGUGAGUAACACGUGAGAAAUCUGCCCUUGACUCUGGGAUAACUGCGGGAAACUGUAGCUAAUACCGGAUACUUUCCUUGGUGGGCAUCCACUGGGGAAGAAAGAAUUUCGGUCAAGGAUGAUCUCGCGGCCUAUCAGCUAGUUGGUGAGGUAAUGGCUCACCAAGGCGACGACGGGUAGCCGGCCUGAGAGGGUGACCGGCCACACUGGGACUGAGACACGGCCCAGACUCCUACGGGAGGCAGCAGUGGGGAAUAUUGCACAAUGGGGGCAAGCCUGAUGCAGCAACGCCGCGUGAGGGAUGAAGACGGUCGGGUUGUAAACCUCUUUUAGCAGGGAAGAAGCGAAA
RNAcentral lists this ribosomal RNA (424 nucleotides) under uncultured bacterium. RNAcentral's name for it is "bacterial SSU rRNA". It matches the Rfam family "Bacterial small subunit ribosomal RNA", at positions 39 to 455 of the family's 1533-position model. The record is from RNAcentral.